CCUACGGGAGGCAGCAGUGAGGAAUAUUGGUCAAUGGACGAGAGUCUGAACCAGCCAAGUAGCGUGAAGGAUGACUGCCCUAUGGGUUGUAAACUUCUUUUAUAUGGGAAUAAAAUGUUCCACGUGUGGGAUUUUGUAUGUACCAUAUGAAUAAGGAUCGGCUAACUCCGUGCCAGCAGCCGCGGUAAUACGGAGGAUCCGAGCGUUAUCCGGAUUUAUUGGGUUUAAAGGGAGCGCAGGUGGAUUGUUAAGUCAGUUGUGAAAGUUUGCGGCUCAACCGUAAAAUUGCAGUUGAAACUGGCAGUCUUGAGUACAGUAGAGGUGGGCGGAAUUCGUGGUGUAGCGGUGAAAUGCUUAGAUAUCACGAAGAACUCCGAUCGCGAAGGCAGUUCACUGGACUGCAACUGACACUGAGGCUCGAAAGUGUGGGUAUCAAACAGGAUUAGAUACCCUUGUAGUC
Molecule: ribosomal RNA, 460 nt
Filed under: uncultured bacterium
Lineage: Bacteria
Description: partial 16S ribosomal RNA
Rfam family: Bacterial small subunit ribosomal RNA
Source: RNAcentral